GGUGCAAGAUGACGGAGCCGGGCGCCUCUCCCGAGGACCCUUGGGUGGAGUAUGCCUACAGCGACAACAGCCUGGACCCCGGGCUUUUUGUAGAAAGCACCCGCAAGGGGAGUGUAGUGUCCAGAGCUAAUAGCAUCGGUUCCACCAGUGCCUCUUCUGUCCCCAACACAGGUAGGCGGUAACAUCCCCCCUACCUUGGGGGGCUCAGAUAUGUCAUAAUUGUAGUACCUUUCCUAGACAGGGAAGCCCCAGCCAUCCACACAGGGGUGCUGGAGCCAAAGUAUCAGACACAGGGUCUCACCAUCUUUCACCUCAUCUGGAACAUUAGGUUCUUCUGUCCAUCUGCCUUCUCUGGACACCAGCUUCUUCCCAGCUGGGGAAAGGUGGGCUAGCUGGACCCCACUGGGCCCCAAGAUGACCUCUCCCUGCCCCCAUCUCUGAGCGUAGAUGACGAGGACAGUGAUUACCACCAGGAGGCCUACAAGGAGUCUUACAAAGACCGGCGGCGGCGCGCACACACUCAGGCUGAGCAGAAGAGGAGGGACGCCAUCAAGAGAGGCUAUGAUGACCUUCAGACCAUCGUCCCCACUUGCCAGCAGCAGGACUUCUCCAUUGGCUCCCAAAAGCUCAGCAAAGCCAUCGUUCUACAAAAGAGUAUGGCUAAGGAAAGCACUGGAGGGGCUGGAGCCAAGAGGGGCUGUGAAGAGGCCAGCGCCUCCUACCCACCCAUGGCUCGGCCUUGGUGUGGUGAUUGCCAUGGGAUAGUUGGGGUCUGGGGGAAGGGGAACAAAGUCAACCUUAUCUUCUGGGUUGAGAAUACUUCUGUACCUGUCCUUUUUUCUUGCCCCC
Molecule: small RNA, 849 nt
Filed under: Pongo abelii (Sumatran orangutan)
Lineage: Eukaryota; Metazoa; Chordata; Mammalia; Primates; Hominidae
Description: retained intron
Source: RNAcentral